AAGAGUCCCAAAUAGGACGAAACGCGCGUC
This is a non-coding RNA of Schistosoma rodhaini, 30 nucleotides long. The record is from Rfam. Lineage: Eukaryota; Metazoa; Platyhelminthes; Trematoda; Strigeidida; Schistosomatidae.